Molecule: ribosomal RNA, 370 nt
Filed under: uncultured bacterium
Lineage: Bacteria
Description: SSU rRNA
Rfam family: Bacterial small subunit ribosomal RNA
Source: RNAcentral
AGAACGAACGCUGGCGGCGUGGAUAAGACAUGCAAGUCGAGCGCUGAUUACAGGGUAGCAAUAUUCUGUAGUUGGAGCGGCGCAAGGGUGCGUAACACGUGGGUAAUCUGCCAUGAAGUCUGGGAUAACUCGCUGAAAGGCGAGCUAAUACCGGAUGUGAAAAUUAGGAGGCAUCUUCCGAUUUUCAAAGCUGGGGACCGUAAGGCCUGGCGCUUCAUGAUGAGCCCGCGGCCUAUCAGCUAGUUGGUGAGGUAACGGCUCACCAAGGCUAAGACGGGUAGCUGGUCUGAGAGGACGACCAGCCACACUGGAACUGAGACACGGUCCAGACACCUACGGGUGGCAGCAGUCGAGAAUUUUCACAAUGGGG